UGGGCGUAAGAGCUUGUAGGCGGUUUGUCGCGUCUGCUGUGAAAAUUCAGGGCUUAACCCUGGACGUGCAGUGGGUACGGGCAGACUAGAGUAUGGUAGGGGAGACUGGAAUUCCUGGUGUAGCGGUGGAAUGCGCAGAUAUCAGGAGGAACACCGAUGGCGAAGGCAGGUCUCUGGGCCAUUACUGACGCUGAGAAGCGAAAGCAUGGGGAGCGAACAGGAUUAGAUACCCUGGUAGUCCAUGCCGUAAACGUUGGGCGCUAGGCGUGGGUCUCAUUCCACGAGAUCCGUGUCGCAGCUAACGCAUUAAGCGCCCCGCCUGGGGAGUACGGCCGCAAGGCUAAAACUCAAAGGAAUUGACGGGGGCCCGCACAAGCGGCGGAGCAUGCUGAUUAAUUCGAUGCAACGCGAAGAACCUUACCAAGGCUUGACAUGCACCGGAUCGCCUCAGAGAUGGGGUUUCCCUUUGGGCUGGUGCACAGGUGGUGCAUGGUUGUCGUCAGCUCGUGUCGUGAGAUGUUGGGUUAAGUCCCGCAACGAGCGCAACCCUCGUUCUAUGUUGCCAGCACGUAAUGGUGGGGACUCAUAGGAGACUGCCGGGGUCAACUCGGAGGAAGGUGGGGAUGACGUCAAAUCAUCAUGCCCCUUAUGUCUUGGGCUUCAAGCAUGCUACAAUGGCCGGUACAGAGGGUUGCGAAACCGUGAGGUGGAGCGAAUCCCAAAAAACCGGUCUCAGUUCGGAUUGGGGUCUGCAACUCGACCCCAUGAAGUCGGAGUCGCUAGUAAUCGCAGAUCAGCAACGCUGCGGUGAAUACGUUCCCGGGCCUUGUACACACCGCCCGUCAAGUCACGAAAGUCGGUAACACCCGAAGACGGUGGCCUAACCCUUGUGGAAGGA
Molecule: ribosomal RNA, 898 nt
Filed under: Kytococcus sp. 1171-i1
Lineage: Bacteria; Bacillati; Actinomycetota; Actinomycetes; Micrococcales; Kytococcaceae
Description: SSU rRNA
Rfam family: Bacterial small subunit ribosomal RNA
Source: RNAcentral